GUCCACGGCCAUACCACACUGAACGCACCUGGUCUCGUCUGAUCUCGGAAGCUAAGUAGGGUUGGGCCUGGUUAGUACUUGGAUGGGAGAAAGAUGGACGUUUUUACU
This 108-nucleotide ribosomal RNA is filed under the name Sorex araneus (European shrew). The record is from RNAcentral. Lineage: Eukaryota; Metazoa; Chordata; Mammalia; Eulipotyphla; Soricidae.